RNAcentral lists this ribosomal RNA (494 nucleotides) under uncultured bacterium. RNAcentral describes it as "partial 16S ribosomal RNA". It matches the Rfam family "Bacterial small subunit ribosomal RNA", at positions 28 to 506 of the family's 1533-position model. The record is from RNAcentral.
GACGAACGCUGGCGGCGUGCCUAAUACAUGCAAGUAGAACGCUGAAGGAGGAGCUUGCUCUUCUGGAUGAGUUGCGAACGGGUGAGUAACGCGUAAGUAACCUGCCUGGUAGCGGGGGAUAACUAUUGGAAACGAUAGCUAAUACCGCAUAACAGUAGAUGUUGCAUGACAUUUGCUUAAAAGGUGCAAUUGCACCACUACCAGAUGGACCUGCGUUGUAUUAGCUAGUUGGUGGGGUAACGGCUCACCAAGGCGACGAUACAUAGCCGACCUGAGAGGGUGAUCGGCCACACUGGGACUGAGACACGGCCCAGACUCCUACGGGAGGCAGCAGUAGGGAAUCUUCGGCAAUGGACGGAAGUCUGACCGAGCAACGCCGCGUGAGUGAAGAAGGUGUUCGGAUCGUAAAGCUCUGUUGUAAGAGAAGAACGAGUGUGAGAGUGGAAAGUUCACACUGUGACGGUAUCUUACCAGAAAGGGACGGCUAACUACGU